Molecule: ribosomal RNA, 253 nt
Filed under: uncultured bacterium
Lineage: Bacteria
Description: partial 16S ribosomal RNA
Rfam family: Bacterial small subunit ribosomal RNA
Source: RNAcentral
UACGUAGGGGGCGAGCGUUGUCCGGAGUUACUGGGCGUAAAGCGCGCGCAGGCGGUCUGCUAAGUUUGGAGUGACAGUUGGUGGCUUAACUGCCAAAGUGCUUCGAAAACUGACAGACUUGAGGGCUUCAGAGGGACACGGAAUUCCGGGUGGAGUGGUGAAAUGCGUAGAGAUCCGGAGGAACACCAAAGGCGAAGGCAGUGUCCUGGGGAGUACCUGACGCUGAGACGCGAAAGCGUGGGGAGCGAACAGG